AUUUUCUUCCCCCCCUUUUUUUUUUAAACAUCGCCUCCUGCAACUAAACUGAGUAUAGGAGGUCCAGCCUGCCCAGUGACUACGGGUUCAACGGCCGCGGUAUUUUGACCGUGCAAAGGUAGCGCAAUCACUUGUCUUUUAAAUAGAGACCUGUAUGAAUGGCUAAACGAGGGCUUAACUGUCUCCCCCUUCGAGUCAGUGAAAUUGAUCUAUCCGUGCAGAAGCGGGUAUAAACAUACAAGACGAGAAGACCCUUUGGAGCUUAAGGUACAAAAUUCAACCACGUUAAGCAACUUAGUAAAAAGCAAAAACUUAGUGGAGCCUGAAAUUUUACCUUCGGUUGGGGCGACCGCGGAGGAAAAACAAGCCUCCGAGUGGAAUGGGCCAAACCCCUAAAACCAAGAGAGACAUCUCUAAGCCACAGAACAUCUGACCAGAAAUGAUCCGGCUAAUAAGCCGAUCAACGAACCAAGUUACCCUAGGGAUAACAGCGCAAUCCUCUCCCAGAGUCCAUAUCGACGAGGGGGUUUACGACCUCGAUGUUGGAUCAGGACAUCCUAAUGGUGCAGCCGCUAUUAAGGGUUCGUUUGUUCAACGAUUAAAGUCCUACGUGACUGUUUUCCAAAAACC
Molecule: ribosomal RNA, 630 nt
Filed under: Toxabramis swinhonis
Lineage: Eukaryota; Metazoa; Chordata; Actinopteri; Cypriniformes; Xenocyprididae
Description: partial 16S ribosomal RNA
Rfam family: Bacterial large subunit ribosomal RNA
Source: RNAcentral